Molecule: transfer RNA, 101 nt
Filed under: Ustulina deusta
Lineage: Eukaryota; Fungi; Ascomycota; Sordariomycetes; Xylariales; Xylariaceae
Description: Kretzschmaria deusta tRNA-Glu
Source: RNAcentral
UCCGAAUUGGUGUAGUGGCUAACAUUUGACGCUCUCAUCUUCGUCAUUCGUGACGUAGAAAAAGUACCGUCAAGCCCGGGGUUCGAUUCCCCGAUUCGGAG